RNAcentral lists this non-coding RNA (30 nucleotides) under Mus musculus (house mouse). The record is from RNAcentral. Lineage: Eukaryota; Metazoa; Chordata; Mammalia; Rodentia; Muridae.
UAGUAUGUUUCCUGACUAUCUCCCUAGAUC